CGCCUCUUGAACUUUAUAAGAGGUCCAGCCUGCCCAGUGACUCUGUUCAACGGCCGCGGUAUCCUAACCGUGCGAAGGUAGCGUAAUCACUUGUUCUUUAAAUGUGGACUAGUAUGAAUGGCACUACGAGGGUUAUACUGUCUCCUUUUUCUAAUCAGUGAAACUAAUUUUCCCGUGAAGAAGCGGGAAUAUAACUAUAAGACGAGAAGACCCUAUGGAGCUUUAAACAACCCAGCAAUUACUUCUAAAAUUAUAAAUUUCAGAAUAUUCAUUUUUUCUAAGUAACAUGUCUGCAAGUUUUUGGUUGGGGUGACCAUGGAGAAUAACAUAACCUCCAUAUUGAAUGAAUUCCCUUCUAAGCUAAAAAUUACCUAUUGAAGCAUCAAUAUACUGACAUCUAUUGACCCAAUAUAUUUGAUCAACGAACCAAGUUACCCUAGGGAUAACAGCGCAAUCCACUUCAAGAGCCCCUAUCGACAAGUGGGUUUACGACCUCGAUGUUGGAUCAGGGUAUCCCAGUGGCGCAGCCGCUACUAAAGGU
RNAcentral lists this ribosomal RNA (541 nucleotides) under Rhinella cf. margaritifera VG-2014. RNAcentral's name for it is "partial 16S ribosomal RNA". It matches the Rfam family "Bacterial large subunit ribosomal RNA", at positions 1819 to 2572 of the family's 2925-position model. The record is from RNAcentral. Lineage: Eukaryota; Metazoa; Chordata; Amphibia; Anura; Bufonidae.